AUUUGGUCUUCAGUUUGAAAUUUUCUGUUGCAGUCCUUAGAUCAACAUGCUUAAGGAGCACUGAUGAACCUGAUGUUAGAAGUAAGAAAACUGAUCAGACAAAAACUUGAUAUUAAUUCACAGUUAUCUUUUUCUUUGACUUCAAGGGUGGAAUCCAUUAUUUUAAAUAAAGUUCCUGAGCCUGUAGCUGGUUACUCUGCAGAAUUUGUGAACAAGGUGCUUAAGACUGUGGAGAAGGGAGAGGUGGCUGAAGAUCCUGAACAGGAAUAACUUACUUCUCUACAAAGUUUGCAUAGUUUCUAAGAUGUACAAAUGUAUAGUUGGGUUAGAUAUUUUGUAUGAGUUUCAUUUUAGAUUUAAGAGUUUAGUUUAGUUAGAUCUUUUUUGGAAUUUCGUACAUAUUAUUGGACUUUUUUUUCUUUCUAAUGGGAGAACUGUAAAUACACCUUAACUAAACUCAUUGACGUCAGUAUUAUAGGCUGAUGUUUGGAAUAUAUUAUAUUAGUUUUAUUUGUGUAAUAAAUAGUUGCUUUCUUUUAUUAUUUUCAUUACAGUAUGUCUUGUGACAUGGUCAUAUUGACAUAUCUGAACAAUUACUGAAGAUCUAUCACAUAUAAUACUUUUAUUGAAGUUUUGUAAAAAAAAGACUAAUAGUAGAAAUUAAUUUGCAGUAUUUUAAAGUGUAUGACAUACAACCCUGUCAGUUGUUAGAACUACAGCCAUCAGUUACUUGUAUGCUAAGAAAGUAACUGUGUGCUAAUUUUAAUUGUUCUUUUUCUCUUUGUUCUGAUACAAACACCACUAUCUUUUAAAAAUAUUAAAAUACAUUAUUUUGUAUAAGUAAUAAACUAGCAUUUUGUUACCACGUGACAGCAACUUAAUUAACCUAGAGUAACGAACUGACAUUAUGUUGUGUUAAGAAUAUUUUAAACUAACUUGUUUCGAAUGUUGAAAUGGGUUUGGAUCAAACGAUGUCCACUGAAUGGAAAGUGGCCAGCUUCUAGUCCUUCUGUCUGUUAGAAGCUAGACGUAAACCGGAUAUGGAAAACAUAAUACAUCAUUAGAAAUAAAGAAAAUAAAACUAGUUGUAACACAGUAAGAGUAUAAAUUUAGAUUUUUUUCCUAAUAUGAUUUUCAAUUUGAAUCGGUAUUUUUAUUCUUCUGGGUGCUUAAGUAAUGUUUGACAAGACAGUUCAAGCACUGUGACAUAGACAAUGAUCAAAUAAAAACAUGAACUAAUAUUUAGUAAUCUUACAAAUAGAUGUGUUUUAGUAGAGUUUCAGUAGAGACGGUCUUCUCUGGUAAAGGCCAACAUCAAAAGUAAAAUGAAAGUUUGUGUAUUGAGACUUCCAGAGCUAUACUUCUGUUUGUUUCGGGAUAACUAAGCUUGGGACAUUUUCAACUGGACCUAAAGUUUGUUUUUAAAGUCAUUCUAACUACCAAAAAAUUAAUUAUGUGCUGAUAUGGAAGUCUUUCUAUUCUCGUAGUUUAGUUUUAUAAAUAAGGGAUAAUUUUGAAAAUGAGAAAUACUCCUUUUAAAAAGCUAUAAAUAUCAGUCUAUUUAAACUUUUGUAUAGAAUAUUGCUAACUGUUGCAGAAAAGUUCAAGAAAUUAUGCUAAUUUAUUGGAAAAGUUGAGAAAUUAAGAUUACUAUAUAUAUAUAUAUGUAUAUGGUUUUAUUGAUCAUAUUUUAGGUUGAACAAUCAAAAAAUAAUUCAAAUUUUUUUAUUUUUUUUAAUUAUUCAAAUGCUUUUAUGUGACUUGUUAAUGCUGUUUUGCCAAUAGUGAAUAUAAAGGAACUUGUCCUACUGUCUUUGCCAGUAAGUGAAUGUGACAAGUUCUUUCACUACUGUCUUUGCCAGUAAAUGAAUAUGAAGAACUUGUCAUUACUGUCUUUGCCAGUAAGUGAAUGUGAAAGAACUUGUCAUUACUGUCUUUGCCAGAAAACGAAGAAAACUUUUCACUAGAAGAACACUACUGAAAACCUAACAUUAUAGUUUUCUGUGAUAGCUGCGUAUUACUGCUGUUGAUGUAGUUUCUAAGUUUGUCAUUCCAACUGAUGAGGUUUGAAAACUGUGCUGAUGGCUGCAGCCAAGUUUGAAUGGUACCCAACUACUUUGUGUUUCACAGCUGGCAUCUGCUGAUUUUUUUUUCACCUUCCUUUUCCUUGUCAAUGCAAUGUAAGAACUCGUUUGUUUCAAAUCUUUGGUGUUUUUUAUUCCUCAUGGACAAAAUACUUUCAGCUCUGUAAUGUAAAAGUUAUAAUGGAUUAAAAUAUUAGUUCAAAUAAUGUUCUAUAACACAUUUGUUGUCUAAAUUUUAAUAGAACAUAUGAUGUUUUUGAAAGGCAAUUUCCUGCUAAUUAAGUAGGGGCAAUUUCUUCCCACCCCAUUUUCUUUUGAAGUUUGCAAUUUGAAGUAUGACUGUAUCCCUAAAUGUAUAAUAGGAGUUUUGGGGAAAGAAAAGUUAGUUUAUAAUUGUAGUGAAAAAGUUAAUUUGUAUGUUUCGCUGUAGGAAGUAUAAUUGUAUUGAAGGUCAAUAAAGUUUGGAGAUGGCUUGAAUGAAUAAUGAAAA
RNAcentral lists this long non-coding RNA (2574 nucleotides) under Limulus polyphemus (Atlantic horseshoe crab). Its description in RNAcentral is "uncharacterized LOC111083321". The record is from RNAcentral. Lineage: Eukaryota; Metazoa; Arthropoda; Merostomata; Xiphosura; Limulidae.